Molecule: ribosomal RNA, 244 nt
Filed under: uncultured bacterium
Lineage: Bacteria
Description: partial 16S ribosomal RNA
Rfam family: Bacterial small subunit ribosomal RNA
Source: RNAcentral
ACGCGUGAGUAACCUGCCUCCAAGAGGGGGAUAACAUUCUGAAAAGAAUGCUAAUACCGCAUGAGACUACAGAGCUGCAUGGCUCAGUGGUCAAAGGAGCAAUCCGCUGAAAGAUGGACUCGCGUCCGAUUAGAUAGUAGGCGGGGUAACGGCCCACCUAGUCGACGAUCGGUAGCCGGACUGAGAGGUUGAACGGCCACAUUGGGACUGAGACACGGCCCAGACUCCUACGGGAGGCAGCAUG